UACGUAGGUGGCAAGCGUGUCCGGAUUUAUUGGGUUUAAAGGGUGCGUAGGCGGUCUUAUAAGUCAGUGGUGAAAUACGGCAGCUCAACUGUCGAGGUGCCAUUGAUACUGUAGGACUUGAGUACAGACGAGGUAGGCGGAAUUGACGGUGUAGCGGUGAAAUGCUUAGAUAUCGUCAAGAACACCGAUAGCGAAAGGCAGCUUACUAGGCUGUAACUGACGCUGAGGCACGAAAGUGUGGGGAUCAAACAGGG
RNAcentral lists this ribosomal RNA (254 nucleotides) under uncultured bacterium. RNAcentral's name for it is "partial 16S ribosomal RNA". It matches the Rfam family "Bacterial small subunit ribosomal RNA", at positions 524 to 777 of the family's 1533-position model. The record is from RNAcentral.